This 244-nucleotide ribosomal RNA is filed under the name uncultured bacterium. RNAcentral describes it as "partial 16S ribosomal RNA". It matches the Rfam family "Bacterial small subunit ribosomal RNA", at positions 90 to 334 of the family's 1533-position model. The record is from RNAcentral.
ACUGAGCGGCGGACGGGUGAGUAACGCGUGGGUAACUUGCCCCAUACAGGGGGAUAACAGUUGGAAACGGCUGCUAAUACCGCAUAAGCGCACAGUACCGCAUGGUACGGUGUGAAAAACUCCGGUGGUAUGAGAUGGACCCGCGUCUGAUUAGGUAGUUGGUGGGGUAACGGCCUACCAAGCCGACGAUCAGUAGCCGACCUGAGAGGGUGACCGGCCACAUUGGGACUGAGACACGGCCCAA